UUAGGUCGGGAACUCAAAGGAGACUGCCAGUGAUAAACUGGAGGAAGGUGGGGAUGACGUCAAGUCAUCAUGGCCCUUACGACCAGGGCUACACACGUGCUACAAUGGCGCAUACAAAGAGAAGCGACCUCGCGAGAGCAAGCGGACCUCAUAAAGUGCGUCGUAGUCCGGAUUGGAGUCUGCAACUCGACUCCAUGAAGUCGGAAUCGCUAGUAAUCGUGGAUCAGAAUGCCACGGUGAAUACGUUCCCGGGCCUUGUACACACCGCCCGUCACACCAUGGGAGUGGGUUGCAAAAGAAGUAGGUAGCUUAACCUUCGGGAGGGCGCUUACCACUUUGUGAUUCAUGACUGGGGUGAAGUCGUAACAAGGUAACCGUAGGGGAACC
Molecule: ribosomal RNA, 387 nt
Filed under: Salmonella enterica subsp. enterica
Lineage: Bacteria; Pseudomonadati; Pseudomonadota; Gammaproteobacteria; Enterobacterales; Enterobacteriaceae
Description: bacterial SSU rRNA
Rfam family: Bacterial small subunit ribosomal RNA
Source: RNAcentral